Molecule: ribosomal RNA, 470 nt
Filed under: Mycobacterium sp.
Lineage: Bacteria; Bacillati; Actinomycetota; Actinomycetes; Mycobacteriales; Mycobacteriaceae
Description: bacterial SSU rRNA
Rfam family: Bacterial small subunit ribosomal RNA
Source: RNAcentral
GGUGGUUUGUCGCGUUGUUCGUGAAAACCGGGGGCUUAACUCUCGGCGUGCGGGCGAUACGGGCAGACUGGAGUACUGCAGGGGAGACUGGAAUUCCUGGUGUAGCGGUGGAAUGCGCAGAUAUCAGGAGGAACACCGGUGGCGAAGGCGGGUCUCUGGGCAGUAACUGACGCUGAGGAGCGAAAGCGUGGGGAGCGAACAGGAUUAGAUACCCUGGUAGUCCACGCCGUAAACGGUGGGUACUAGGUGUGGGUUUCCUUCCUUGGGAUCCGUGCCGUAGCUAACGCAUUAAGUACCCCGCCUGGGGAGUACGGCCGCAAGGCUAAAACUCAAAGGAAUUGACGGGGGCCCGCACAAGCGGCGGAGCAUGUGGAUUAAUUCGAUGCAACGCGAAGAACCUUACCUGGGUUUGACAUGCACAGGACGCCGGCAGAGAUGUCGGUUCCCUUGUGGCCUGUGUGCAGGUGGUG